UACGGAGGGUGCAAGCGUUGUUCGGACUUACUGGGCGUAACGGGCGUGUAGGUGGUUGACUAAGUCAGGUGUGAAAGCCCUCAGCUCAACUGAGGAAGCGCAUCUGAAACUGGUUAACUUGAGUACGGGAGAGGAGAGUGGAAUUCCUGGUGUAGAGGUGAAAUUCGUAGAUAUCAGGAGGAACAUCGGUGGCGAAGGCGACUCUCUGGACCGAUACUGACACUGAGACGCGAAAGCGUGGGGAGCCAGCAGG
This 253-nucleotide ribosomal RNA is filed under the name uncultured bacterium. RNAcentral describes it as "partial 16S ribosomal RNA". It matches the Rfam family "Bacterial small subunit ribosomal RNA", at positions 524 to 776 of the family's 1533-position model. The record is from RNAcentral.